Molecule: ribosomal RNA, 423 nt
Filed under: uncultured bacterium
Lineage: Bacteria
Description: bacterial SSU rRNA
Rfam family: Bacterial small subunit ribosomal RNA
Source: RNAcentral
UAAGGAAUAUUGGUCAAUGGACGCAAGUCUGAACCAGCCAUGCCGCGUGGAGGAUGAAGGUCCUCUGGAUUGUAAACUUCUUUUAUCUGGGACGAAAAAAGGGUUUUCUAACUCGUCUGACGGUACCAGAUGAAUAAGCACCGGCUAACUCCGUGCCAGCAGCCGCGGUAAUACGGAGGGUGCAAGCGUUAUCCGGAUUCACUGGGUUUAAAGGGUGCGUAGGCGGACAUUUAAGUCAGUGGUGAAAUACCUGAGCUUAACUUGGGAACUGCCAUUGAUACUAUUUGUCUUGAAUGUCGUGGAGGUUAGCGGAAUAUGUCAUGUAGCGGUGAAAUGCUUAGAUAUGACAUAGAACACCUAUUGCGAAGGCAGCUAACUACGCGAAUAUUGACGCUGAGGCACGAAAGCGUGGGGAUCAAACAG